This 496-nucleotide ribosomal RNA is filed under the name uncultured bacterium. RNAcentral's name for it is "bacterial SSU rRNA". It matches the Rfam family "Bacterial small subunit ribosomal RNA", at positions 24 to 518 of the family's 1533-position model. The record is from RNAcentral.
UCAGGAUGAACGCUAGCUACAGGCUUAACACAUGCAAGUCGAGGGUAGCAGGUAGCAAUACCGCUGACGACCGGCGCACGGGUGAGUAACACGUAUCCAACUUCCCAUAACUCAGGGAUAGCCUUUCGAAAGAAAGAUUAAUACCUGAUAGUACUUUUUUCAAGGCAUCUUGAAAAAGUUAAAGAUUUAUGGUUAUGGAUGGGGAUGCGUUCCAUUAGGUAGUUGGUGAGGUAACGGCUCACCAAGCCGACGAUGGAUAGGGGAACUGAGAGGUUGGUCCCCCACACUGGUACUGAGACACGGACCAGACUCCUACGGGAGGCAGCAGUGAGGAAUAUUGGUCAAUGGGCGAGAGCCUGAACCAGCCAAGUCGCGUGAAAAGGAAGAAGGAUCUAUGGUUCGUAAACUUCUUUUGCAGGGGAAUAAAGUGCAGGACGUGUCCUGUUUUGUAUGUACCCUGAGAAUAAGGAUCGGCUAACUCCGUGCCAGCAGCAGC